Molecule: long non-coding RNA, 256 nt
Filed under: Ananas comosus (pineapple)
Lineage: Eukaryota; Viridiplantae; Streptophyta; Magnoliopsida; Poales; Bromeliaceae
Description: long non-coding RNA (ACOM_LNC041473)
Source: RNAcentral
CCGCUCAAAAACAAAAUUAUUUUCACAAAUAGCAACACUAAUUUUAUAAUUAUAAUUUUAUCCUUAUUUCUGCCACGUAGGCGACACAUUAGCACCACGCGAGUAGAGAUGGUAGAUAAAGAAUAAGUUGACACAGUGAAUAGUUCAUCGUAUUUAGUGUAUAUUAUAUUACUUGCGCGUGGGGUCAAUAUAUUCACUGAACACGAUGAAUGGAUUAUCGUUUUCAACUUAUUCCACAUCCUACAUUCCUGCUCGU